Molecule: ribosomal RNA, 254 nt
Filed under: uncultured bacterium
Lineage: Bacteria
Description: partial 16S ribosomal RNA
Rfam family: Bacterial small subunit ribosomal RNA
Source: RNAcentral
UACGUAGGGUGCGAGCGUUGUCCGGAAUUAUUGGGCGUAAAGAGCUCGUAGGCGGUGUGUCACGUCGGCCGUGAAAACCUGGGGCUUAACUCUGGGCGUGCGGUCGAUACGGGCAUCACUAGAGUUCGGUAGGGGAGACUGGAAUUCCUGGUGUAGCGGUGAAAUGCGCAGAUAUCAGGAGGAACACCGGUGGCGAAGGCGGGUCUCUGGGCCGAUACUGACGCUGAGGAGCGAAAGCGUGGGGAGCGAACAGG